UGGGGAAUAUUGCACAAUGGGCGCAAGCCUGAUGCAGCAACGCCGCGUGAGUGAUGAAGGCCUUCGGGUCGUAAAACUCUGUCCUAAGGGAAGAUAAUGACGGUACCUUAGGAGGAAGCCCCGGCUAACUACGUGCCAGCAGCCGCGGUAAUACGUAGGGGGCAAGCGUUAUCCGGAAUUACUGGGCGUAAAGGGUGCGUAGGUGGCCUGACAAGUCAGGGGUCAAAGGCAACGGCUCAACCGUUGUAAGCCCUUGAAACUGUCGGGCUUGAGUUCAGGAGAGGAAAGCGGAAUUCCUAGUGUAGCGGUGAAAUGCGUAGAUAUUAGGAGGAACACCAGUGGCGAAGGCGGCUUUCUGGACUGAUACUGACACUGAGGCACGAAAGCGUGGGGAGCAAAC
Molecule: ribosomal RNA, 400 nt
Filed under: uncultured bacterium
Lineage: Bacteria
Description: bacterial SSU rRNA
Rfam family: Bacterial small subunit ribosomal RNA
Source: RNAcentral